UUCCCGCUUGGUCUUAAGCUUAGAGAGGUUAGAUAUAGAGCAAAGAAAAGAGUAAAACAGGGGAGGGGUGAAAAAUGAGAAUGCUUCAGCUUGCUGAAAACAAAAUACCUUAGGUGUAGUUUUCACUUCUUUCCGUAUGCUCUCUGUCUCUUCAUUGGAUCUCAGACAAGGAAGGAAAAAGCAACUGUAAGUGCAGCGAAGUUCUUGUGAUCACUUGAAGCUCAACCAAAUCAGGUUUUAGGUAACUAGAGAAACGCUCUCAAAUAUUGCAACUCUCAGCGGUAACAAUGAAGAGAAUGUAAAGGAGAGUAAACACAACACGCCAAGGAGGAACCGAGGAAUCCAACCAUGGAGACAUCUGACACCCCACAAGUUAUAUAAUGUGACUCUUGUGUGGACAGCCACAGCAAGGCCCUGACCUGUCUAGUUUCAGGAGCACGAAAGGAACACAACUGCAUCUGUGGUGGAGGCACGCACACAAAUUCAGCCCGCCCAGCACCAGGCACCGUUGACCAGAAGAAUCCUCUCCAGUCCUGGUCCUCGAAGAUGUACGGAAGGAUGCGAGUCAGGAUGCGAGUGCAGUUCAGGAUCACCUGCUUCUCCCUCUCUGUGGGGCAACCAGACUCUGCACCCUGCACCAGUUUCUCCACGGCCUGAGGCAGCUUCAAACGGAAGCUGGGACAGAGAGACGGGAAGCAAAGGGAAAGGAAGGGGAGUUGGCUAUUUUAUUCCCACAUCUGAGAGCAUGAGGCAGUGCCUUGCUGACAGACUGUGCCAAGCUCUAACAAACAACAUUAUUCCAUGAUGUAGCCACAACGCAAGGGACGGCCCCAUGCAA
Micropterus dolomieu (smallmouth bass) is the source of this 838-nucleotide long non-coding RNA. RefSeq lists it as uncharacterized. The transcript is spliced from 3 exons. The record is from RefSeq and is a predicted model, not a curated record. Lineage: Eukaryota; Metazoa; Chordata; Actinopteri; Centrarchiformes; Centrarchidae.